GAAAAGAAUUAGAAAUAC
This 18-nucleotide transfer RNA is filed under the name Aneides flavipunctatus (black salamander). RNAcentral's name for it is "partial tRNA-Ser". The record is from RNAcentral. Lineage: Eukaryota; Metazoa; Chordata; Amphibia; Caudata; Plethodontidae.